UGAUGCAGCACGCCGCGUGAGGGAUGACGGCCUUCGGGUUGUAAACCUCUUUUAGCAGGGAAGAAGCGAAAGUGACGGUACCUGCAGAAAAAGCACCGGCUAACUACGUGCCAGCAGCCGCGGUAAUACGUAGGGUGCAAGCGUUGUCCGGAAUUAUUGGGCGUAAAGAGCUCGUAGGCGGUUUGUCACGUCUGCUGUGAAAAUCCAAGGCUCAACCUUGGACUUGCAGUGGGUACGGGCAGGCUAGAGUGCGGUAGGGGAGAUGGGAAUUCCUGGUGUAGCGGUGGAAUGCGCAGAUAUCAGGAGGAACACCAAUGGCGAAGGCACAUCUCUGGGCCGUAACUGACGCUGAGGAGCGAAAGCGUGGGGAGCGAACAGGAUUAGAUACCCUGGUAGUCCACGCCGUAAACGGUGGGUGCUAGCUGUGGGCCACAUUCCACGUGGUCCGUGACGAAGUUAACACAUUAAGCACCCCGCCUGGGGAGUACGGCCGCAAGGCUAAAACUCAAAGAAAAUUGACGG
Molecule: ribosomal RNA, 522 nt
Filed under: uncultured marine bacterium
Lineage: Bacteria
Description: bacterial SSU rRNA
Rfam family: Bacterial small subunit ribosomal RNA
Source: RNAcentral